Ceratotherium simum simum (southern white rhinoceros) is the source of this 97-nucleotide non-coding RNA. Lineage: Eukaryota; Metazoa; Chordata; Mammalia; Perissodactyla; Rhinocerotidae. The record is from RefSeq and is a predicted model, not a curated record.
CACAACGUCUGCAAAGAGCUCGAUCUUCAUGCGGCCCACUUCCUGCAACGGGGAGACGGUCAGAAGGCCCAGUGCGAGCCCGGGAAGACCACACCAA